RNAcentral lists this ribosomal RNA (460 nucleotides) under uncultured bacterium. Its description in RNAcentral is "partial 16S ribosomal RNA". It matches the Rfam family "Bacterial small subunit ribosomal RNA", at positions 28 to 507 of the family's 1533-position model. The record is from RNAcentral.
GACGAAUGCUGGCUUCUUGCUUAUCACAUGCGAGUCGAGCUGUAAGUCCUCUUCGUGGAUCCCCGAACGGCGAACGGAUGUGUAAUACUUGGGUGACCUGCCCUCAGCUCUUGGGUAUGACUCUGCGUCUGGGUCUAAUACCGGGUAUGACCUUUUCUCGCAUGGAGUUUGUUGGAAAGUUUUUUCGCUUGGGCAUGUGCCCGCGGCCUAUCAGCUUGUUGGUGGGGUGAUGGCCUACCAAGGAGAGGACGGGUAGCCGGCUGGAGAGGUAGACGGGCGACAGUGGGACUGAGACACGGACCAGAAUCCUACGGGAGGCAGAAGUGGGGAAUAUUGAGCAAUGGGCGGAAGCCUGACGCAGAGACGCCGCGUGGGGGAUGACGGCCUUCGGGUUGUAAACAUAGUUCGACCCCGACGAAUUUGGACGGUAGGGGUAGAAGAAGCACCGGCAAACUACGUG